GUCCCAGUUGACGCGGGCUGGAUCUCUCGGGGUUACAGCCUUGCUGAAUUAUUCACCCUUGUCUUUUGCGUACUUCUUGUUUCCUUGGUGGGUUCGCCCACCACUAGGACAAACAUAAACCUUUUGUAAUUGCAAUCAGCGUCAGUAACAAAUUAAUAAUUACAACUUUCAACAACGGAUCUCUUGGUUCUGGCAUCGAUGAAGAACGCAGCGAAAUGCGAUAAGUAGUGUGAAUUGCAGAAUUCAGUGAAUCAUCGAAUCUUUGAACGCACAUUGCGCCCUUUGGUAUUCCAAAGGGCAUGCCUGUUCGAGCGUCAUUUGUACCCUCAAGCUUUGCUUGGUGUUGGGCGUCUUGUCUCUAGCUUUGCUGGAGACUCGCCUUAAAGUAAUUGGCAGCCGGCCUACUGGUUUCGGAGCGCAGCACAAGUCGCACUCUCUAUCAGCAAAGGUCUAGCAUCCAUUAAGCCUUUUUUCAACUUUUGACCUCGGAUCAGGUAGGGAUACCCGCUGAACUUAAGCAUAUCAAAAGCCGGGAGGGAA
This 540-nucleotide ribosomal RNA is filed under the name Alternaria carthami. Its description in RNAcentral is "eukaryotic LSU rRNA". The stretch from base 164 to 317 matches the Rfam family "5.8S ribosomal RNA". The record is from RNAcentral. Lineage: Eukaryota; Fungi; Ascomycota; Dothideomycetes; Pleosporales; Pleosporaceae.